AUUAUUUCAACCCCAGCAAUCCAAACUAUCAUCUUGAAGUCCAUCCUCUUCAUCUCCCUCGCUGUAGCAAGCAUCUUAAUGGUGCUUCCAUCAGAGCAAAUAGACGGAAAUCCGGUACCCACAAUCAUCUUUAAGGGACACCCAUCUAUCUUUCAUGCCUACUAAUAUCAGUCAGCUUUGCCUUCAGUGGAGCAUUUGCAGCAUCGAUGAUGGAAAGCCAGUCUAAAAUUGCAAGGUUCUGCAGUUAUUAUUCCAUAGCUUCCAUGGCAUCAGAUUUUUCAGUAUUGAUGUUUGCCAUAUUCCUGCAGGUUGGCUGGCAGCUACAGACGAGGAGUAGUUAAGCUAUAUACUCAUCAGUUUUUCCAACUUUAAAAAAUUAAUGCUUCAUCUAAUAUAUGAAUGAUUUGCUAUUUUCCCAGUUUUUUUUUUUUUUUUUUUUUUCAUUUUUUCUCGCUUAUAUAGUGGCCAUUUUGAAUUGGUUUCUCUGUGCUUUAAGGCUGUGUUUAAAUCUAAUUAAAGACAAUGCAACAGUGUUCACAAAAAUUUGGCAACUGACCAAAAC
Molecule: long non-coding RNA, 562 nt
Filed under: Vitis vinifera (wine grape)
Lineage: Eukaryota; Viridiplantae; Streptophyta; Magnoliopsida; Vitales; Vitaceae
Description: long non-coding RNA (VVIN_LNC000223)
Source: RNAcentral